GGGAAUUUUGGGCAAUGGGCGAAAGCCUGACCCAGCAACGCCGCGUGAAGGAUGAAAUCCCUCGGGAUGUAAACUUCGCAAGAACGGGAAGAAUAAGCCGGUGUCAACACCACCGGCGAUGACGGUACUGUUUGUAAGCUCCGGCUAACUCCGUGCCAGCAGCCGCGGUAAUACGUAGGGGGCGAGCGUUGCCCGGAUUUAUUGGGCGUAAAGCGCGCGCGGGCGGCCUGACAGGUCCCCUGUGAAAUCUCCGGGCUCAACCCGGAGGGGUCAGGGGAUACCGGCAGGCUAGGGCCUGGGAGGGGGAAGCGGAAUUCCCGGUGUAGUGGUGGAAUGCGUAGAUAUCGGGAGGAACACCAGUGGCGAAGGCGGCUUCCUGGACCAGUGCCGACGCUGAGGCGCGAAAGCGUGGGGAGCGAU
This 420-nucleotide ribosomal RNA is filed under the name uncultured bacterium. RNAcentral describes it as "bacterial SSU rRNA". It matches the Rfam family "Bacterial small subunit ribosomal RNA", at positions 357 to 772 of the family's 1533-position model. The record is from RNAcentral.